RNAcentral lists this ribosomal RNA (324 nucleotides) under uncultured eukaryote. Its description in RNAcentral is "partial 18S ribosomal RNA". It matches the Rfam family "Eukaryotic small subunit ribosomal RNA", at positions 1470 to 1796 of the family's 1831-position model. The record is from RNAcentral.
CCCUUAGAUGCUCUGGGCCGCACGCGCGCUACACUGGUCGAUGCAACGAGUUUCUUUCCUUGGCCGACAGGCCUGGGCAAUCUUUGAACAUCGAUCGUGAUCGGGAUAGAUUCUUGUAAUUUUUGAUCUUAAACGAGGAAUUCCUAGUAAACGCAAGUCAUCAGCUUGCAUUGAUUACGUCCCUGCCCUUUGUACACACCGCCCGUCGCACCUACCGAUUGAAUGGUCCGGUGAAAUCUCCGGACUGGCGUGAGUCGGAGCAAUCUGACAAACACCGGAAAGUUUAUUAAACCUUACCAUUUAGAGGAAGGUGAAGUCGUAACA